This 1370-nucleotide unclassified non-coding RNA is filed under the name Dimorphilus gyrociliatus. RNAcentral's name for it is "dgyrCDS13265". Lineage: Eukaryota; Metazoa; Annelida; Polychaeta; Dinophilidae. The record is from RNAcentral.
AAGUAAUGAAUUAAUAAAAUACGUAAUGCAAAGCUUUUUAGUUGCUAUGGAAUCAUAUCAAGACCUACCACAUAAUCAACAGUCUGUCUUAUAUUACUUGUUUUCCUCUCACAUCUAGUCCUAACUUUGUUAAGGUGAAGUAGAGCAAGACUUUUCAUAUGUUACUUAGCGUCGUAUGAUAGAAACAUACAGAUUGUAUAAAAAAAUUAUCGAUUCCCUUCUCCCGGGAUACGUAUGAGUAAAAAUGGACAGGAAAUUUGAUGUCGAUAAGGAUAAAAAAGAUAGCGCAAAAUUGGAUGAUAUAGAAUUAACAACAAAUGGAACAUUGGAUAAAAAAAUAAAAUCUAAAAUGUCUGUUACCGAAACAACUGGUGUAUCCGGUUAUUCAAACGCCGGAUUUAGCAAAUCCGAAGCUGAUUCUGAUUCGUGGCCUGAAGAGGACAGAGAAAAAAAAGAUGUUGCUUUGGAUAUGGAUGAUGGUGAUUUCGAUGAUGAAAAUUUCAAAGAUGAAGAAUUAAAGAAGAAAUUAACUCCAGAGGAGGAAAAGAUUCUUGAAGUGUUGAGAGAAGUCGUGCGUAGAUGCACAAACCCGGACCCAAUGAAGCGUCCAACUGCAGCCGAAGUUUUGGAAAUGCUUAACAAAUGCCCAGUUCCACAAGAACAAGAUUAAACUAUCCUCCAGGAAGGCGUUGGCAUGUAAUUGAUUUUUUUUCGUAAUUGCUUUUGGUGUUUAUUCCAAUCUCAACUUAUAAGAAUUUAAAAUGUAAAUGUGAUGAAGUCGUAAGCUAUAUAUACAUAUAUUAUACAUUAAUAUAUAAUGAUGUAUAAGUAAUGUAUAAACAUUGAAAGAGAAACCUCCAUGAUUCAAGUUCAAUUUAUUUCUCUGUCUCUAUGUCUGCCUCUCUAUCUCUUAUAAGUCUUUAAUAAUGUAUUUUGAUCCUUAACUUUCUUUCUUAACAUGUAUGAAAAAACUUGACUGUUGUCAGUUGACGUUGUGAAUACUUUUUGAAGCCAAUUGCCUAAAUAAAAGCAACUAUUAUACAGAAAGAACAAUGGAAAGAGUAUCUUCGUAUCUUUUACUUUUUAAUAUUAAAUGGUAUUAAUCAGUUUUAUAUUUAUAUAUUAGAAUAAAAAAAAGGCGUUCGUUCAAAAUACAUGUACAUGUAUAUCUAUGUUUACUAAACUUAAAACAGUAAGUAAGCCUAUAUGAUAGAGUUCGUGCAUAAUUAAUAGGAAACUUAUUAGUUAUGAUAUUACAAAUUUAAUAUUUAAUUAUUAUUCGUUCUUUGUCUAGAAUAACAUGCUGGAAUGCAAGUUUAAUAUAAGUUUUUCACUCGUUCCUUUAUGUGUUUUUAUUCUCUUCACUUUAU